GACGAACGCUGGCGGCGUGCCUAAUACAUGCAAGUAGAACGCUGAAGGAGGAGCUUGCUCUUCUGGAUGAGUUGCGAACGGGUGAGUAACGCGUAGGUAACCUGCCUGGUAGUGGGGGAUAACUAUUGGAAACGAUAGCUAAUACCGCAUAAUAACAGUUGUUGCAUGACAACUGUUUGAAAGGUGCAAUUGCAUCACUACCAGAUGGACCUGCGUUGUAUUAGCUAGUUGGUGGGGUAACGGCUCACCAAGGCGACGAUACAUAGCCGACCUGAGAGGGUGAUCGGCCACACUGGGACUGAGACACGGCCCAGACUCCUACGGGAGGCAGCAGUAGGGAAUCUUCGGCAAUGGACGGAAGUCUGACCGAGCAACGCCGCGUGAGUGAAGAAGGUUUUCGGAUCGUAAAGCUCUGUUGUAAGAGAAGAACGAGUGUGAGAGUGGAAAGUUCACAAA
RNAcentral lists this ribosomal RNA (456 nucleotides) under Streptococcus sp. oral taxon C56. Its description in RNAcentral is "bacterial SSU rRNA". It matches the Rfam family "Bacterial small subunit ribosomal RNA", at positions 28 to 470 of the family's 1533-position model. Lineage: Bacteria; Bacillati; Bacillota; Bacilli; Lactobacillales; Streptococcaceae. The record is from RNAcentral.